UACGUAGGUGGCGAGCGUUGUCCGGAUUUACUGGGCGUAAAGAGCGCGCAGGCGGCUGGUCAAGUCCGAUGUGAAAUCUCCCGGCUCAACUGGGAAACUGCAUCGGAAACUGAUCGGCUUGAAGGUGGGAGAGAGUAGUGGAAUUCCCGGUGUAGUGGUGAAAUGCGUAGAUAUCGGGAGGAACACCAGUGGCGAAGGCGACUACUUGGCCCAUUCUUGACGCUGAGGCGCGAAAGCUAGGGGAGCGAACGGG
RNAcentral lists this ribosomal RNA (253 nucleotides) under uncultured bacterium. RNAcentral's name for it is "partial 16S ribosomal RNA". It matches the Rfam family "Bacterial small subunit ribosomal RNA", at positions 524 to 776 of the family's 1533-position model. The record is from RNAcentral.